AGUUUGAUCAUGGCUCAGAGUGAACGCUGGCGGUAAGCCUAACACAUGCAAGUCGAACGGCAGCACAGGAGAGCUUGCUCUCUGGGUGGCGAGUGGCGGACGGGUGAGGAAUACAUCGGAAUCUACUUUUUCGUGGGGGAUAACGUAGGGAAACUUACGCUAAUACCGCAUACGACCUACGGGUGAAAGCAGGGGAUCUUCGGACCUUGCGCGAUUGAAUGAGCCGAUGUCGGAUUAGCUAGUUGGCGGGGUAAAGGCCCACCAAGGCGACGAUCCGUAGCUGGUCUGAGAGGAUGAUCAGCCACACUGGAACUGAGACACGGUCCAGACUCCUACGGGAGGCAGCAGUGGGGAAUAUUGGACAAUGGGCGCAAGCCUGAUCCAGCCAUACCGCGUGGGUGA
RNAcentral lists this ribosomal RNA (402 nucleotides) under uncultured bacterium. Its description in RNAcentral is "bacterial SSU rRNA". It matches the Rfam family "Bacterial small subunit ribosomal RNA", at positions 10 to 408 of the family's 1533-position model. The record is from RNAcentral.